GGAUAUAAAAGGGCAGCCUUUAGUUUUGCCUACAACCUCACCAUUAUUUGGUCUAUCAAGUCUUUUUCAUCUUGUUUAAUGGUAGUCAAAUCUUCAGAAACCUGGCUUUUUAUAUCUAAACUAAUAUAAAAAUGAUAAUGGUAAGAAAUCUAAUUUAGUUAUCUUUUUUUUUUCUGGAAAAGGAAACCAUCAACAACAACAACACACACACACACACACACACACACACACACACACACCACAUGAUUGCUUGCUUGCUUAGGGAGGAAUCAGAGCUUCAAAAGUGAGCUGAUUCCAGCCACCAGCUGUCAUCAUAUGAGGAGCUCUUGUGAGUUGAUCGCCCAUGAAAGAGGAAUGAGCCUCUAAACAUGGCCACAGCUCAGUGAUACUGACCAACCAGACAUACCUUUGCUGGACCUAUGCAAACAUGAAACAGGUAAAGAGAACUUUUUUUAGCCUUUUCACAUUCAGUUAAGAUUUCAUGAAGAGUUGUAAGAGAAAAGCUUUUCCAGACCCAGCCAUGAGUACUCUGCUUUACUCAGAAGAACCACAAACUUUGAACAGCUUGAUAAUCCAGCAUUUCUGAAACUUUUCUUUGCAUGUGUGUCACUGAGGUAUCUUAUUAAAGCACAUAUUCUAAUUCUUUGGUCUGAGAUGGGGACUAAGAUUCUGCAUUUCUAACAACUUCCAAGUGAUGCUAAUGUGUUCCUGAUGCUGGGACCCUAUUUUAAGUAGCAAAGGUCUUGUUGGAAUCAACCCAACCAAUGGAAGGCAAACAAUCACAAUUCUUGACUGUGAGUUUUGGACAAUGAUUGUCUAUGUUCAGAUGGAAUUUUAUGAAGCUAAACGUUACCUUUGGCCUGUAUAGUGAGUAUACUACAACUCAAGUGGAGGGGUGUGUGUUCAUAUUUUCUCUCAAAAACAAAGCUGAAAAGCCAAUGGGCACAUGGGCAGCAAGGAGAAGGAUGCUAGAAUAAAAUCUUAUUGCAAAAAGGUGGAGAUCAAUAAUCUGCAGCUAUUUCUUUUUCUUUCUUUCUUUUUUUUUUCUGAGACAAGGUUUCACUCUGUCACCUAGCCUGGAGUGCACUGGCGCAAUCAUCACUCACCACAGCCUCGAACUCCUGGGCUCAAGUGAUCCUCUUACCUCACCCUCCCAAGUAUCUGGACUACAGGCUUCAUGAAAUACUUUAGCCAGACAGGUCAGGGUUUAAAGGUGCGCCACUACAGGCAAGCACCACUAUACCCAGCUAAUUUUUAAAAUUUUUUUUAAAGAGACACAGGUCUCACUUUGUGCCCAGGCUGGUCUCAAACUCCUGGCCUCAAGCAAUCCUCCUACCUCGGCCUCCCAAAGUGCUGGGAUUACAGGCAUGAGCCAUGGCCCCUAGCCCUAUUUCUAAUGUAUGAAUAACCUGUUCUCAAGUUAUCUUAAGAAAUAAAGUAUUUCUUUUUUGAAAUAAAUAAAAAGUAGCUAUAC
This 1474-nucleotide long non-coding RNA is filed under the name Homo sapiens (human). Its description in RNAcentral is "HSALNT0173886". Lineage: Eukaryota; Metazoa; Chordata; Mammalia; Primates; Hominidae. The record is from RNAcentral.